Molecule: ribosomal RNA, 295 nt
Filed under: Staphylococcus capitis
Lineage: Bacteria; Bacillati; Bacillota; Bacilli; Caryophanales; Staphylococcaceae
Description: partial 16S ribosomal RNA
Rfam family: Bacterial small subunit ribosomal RNA
Source: RNAcentral
UUUAUGGAGAGUUUGAUCCUGGCUCAGGAUGAACGCUGGCGGCGUGCCUAAUACAUGCAAGUCGAGCGAACAGACGAGGAGCUUGCUCCUCUGACGUUAGCGGCGGACGGGUGAGUAACACGUGGAUAACCUACCUAUAAGACUGGGAUAACUUCGGGAAACCGGAGCUAAUACCGGAUAACAUGUUGAACCGCAUGGUUCAACAGUGAAAGACGGUCUUGCUGUCACUUAUAGAUGGAUCCGCGCCGCAUUAGCUAGUUGGUAAGGUAACGGCUUACCAAGGCAACGAUGCGUA